Molecule: long non-coding RNA, 494 nt
Filed under: Ananas comosus (pineapple)
Lineage: Eukaryota; Viridiplantae; Streptophyta; Magnoliopsida; Poales; Bromeliaceae
Description: long non-coding RNA (ACOM_LNC006350)
Source: RNAcentral
CCCAGGGGUGUCCACGAGCUGAACAUGAGUGAGCUGAGACGAGCUGACAUGUUAAAAUAUCGAGUCGAAAAAUUCAACUCGUAUUCGGCUCGUUUAUUAACGAACUGAACACAAGCUGAUUCAUGAACAAUAAGUUAAAAGAAUUAUGAAGGAUACAUGUAGAAGAUAAAUUUAUGAGAUUUUAUUUAUUUGAUUUUGAUCUAAUAGUUAAAACUAUACAUAUAAAUGACCUUUUUAUAAUUGAGUUAAGCUUUAUAUUUAGGUUAAGUUAAAAAUCAAAUAAUAAAAAUUUAUUUUAUAUAUAUAAUGAUUUAUUUAUAUAUAUAUAUAUAAAUAUAAAAUAUAUGUAUUCAAGCUGAUAUCAAGCCGAACACGAGCGAGUUAACCCUUGUUCGUGUUCACUGUGAUUCGAUCUCGAGUUUAUUUCGAGCCGAACAAGAGCUGGCUCACAAACAACAAGCUGAAUUGCCACCCCUACAUGCACCAAUGCUUGG